Molecule: microRNA precursor, 114 nt
Filed under: Daphnia magna
Lineage: Eukaryota; Metazoa; Arthropoda; Branchiopoda; Diplostraca; Daphniidae
Description: Dma-Mir-216-P2_pre stem-loop
Source: RNAcentral
AAAUCUCAUACGGUAAUUUGGAGAAGAAUGGGGAAAUUUCUUGAUGGAAAUGGUUUUUCGCGCACCUGCGUGAUUUUCCAAAACCCAGUACCCGAAUUGCCGUCUGGGGUGGCC